This 445-nucleotide ribosomal RNA is filed under the name Caerostris sp. 2 DD-2019. RNAcentral describes it as "partial 16S large subunit ribosomal RNA". It matches the Rfam family "Bacterial large subunit ribosomal RNA", at positions 1830 to 2601 of the family's 2925-position model. Lineage: Eukaryota; Metazoa; Arthropoda; Arachnida; Araneae; Araneidae. The record is from RNAcentral.
UUCUUAUUAAUUUAUUUAUAAGUAUUACCUGCUCAAUGAUUUAAAUAGCCGCAGAACUUUUACUGUGCUAAGGUAGCGUAAUCAUUAGCCUCUUAAUUAGAGGCCUGUAUGAACGGUAAAACAUUUUAAUUUCUAUCAUAAUAUCAUAUAUUAAAUUUAUAUUAAAAAUAAAAAUAUUUUUAUUUUUUAAGAAGACGACAAGACCCUAUUGAACUUUACUUCAGUUUAGCUGGGGCAGCUAUUUAAUAAUAAUUUUAAUUUUAUCCGUUAAAUAAAUGACCCUAUUUAAUAGAGCCUAUGUAAAAAGUUACCAUAGGGAUAACAGCGUAAUUUUAUUUUAGAGAUCUUAUCAAAAAUAAAGAUUGCGACCUCGAUGUUGAAUUACUGUUACUAAAAGGCGCAAUAGCUAAUAAAGUAGGUCUGUUCGACCUUUAAUUCAUUACAU